RNAcentral lists this ribosomal RNA (468 nucleotides) under uncultured bacterium. Its description in RNAcentral is "partial 16S ribosomal RNA". It matches the Rfam family "Bacterial small subunit ribosomal RNA", at positions 28 to 507 of the family's 1533-position model. The record is from RNAcentral.
GACGAACGCUGGCGGCGCGCCUAACACAUGCAGGUCGAACGGAGCUGAGAGAAGCUUGCUUUUCUUAGCUUAGUGGCGCACGGGUGAGUAACGCGUGAGUAACCUGCCCUGGAGUGGGGGACAACAGUUGGAAACGACUGCUAAUACCGCAUAAGCCCACGAUCCGGCAUCGGAUUGAGGGAAAAGGAUUUAUUCGCUUCAGGAUGGACUCGCGUCCAAUUAGCUAGUUGGUGAGGUAACGGCCCACCAAGGCGACGAUUGGUAGCCGGACUGAGAGGUUGAACGGCCACAUUGGGACUGAGACACGGCCCAGACUCCUACGGGAGGCAGCAGUGGGGGAUAUUGCACAAUGGGGGAAACCCUGAUGCAGCGACGCCGCGUGGAGGAAGAAGGUUUUCGGAUUGUAAACUCCUGUCGUUAGGGACGAUAAUGACGGUACCUAACAAGAAAGCACCGGCUAACUACGUG